AAUGUGUGUUGAAGAGCUGCGUUUCAACAUGCAAAGAGUUCUAGUUUAUCUAUCCUCCUAUCCUGAUUUAUCUAUCCUCCUAUCAUCCCCUCUGUUUCUCGUAGUUGACUCAUGUUUCCUGUGGUUUUGGUAAGCUUUGAGAAGUGGUGAUGGAGCAACCAGUGUUCUGUUGUGGCUUCCAAGGAUGGGCAACUCUGUCAUUAAAUAUAAGGAUGCUGCACCAUCUGGAUGAAGCUCUCGUUCUAUCUGAUUUAGUUUCCUUGGAUAUCGACUUGGAAACAGCAAUCUCGGAGAAGGAACUCCUAGGCUUCUGAAACCAAAUCACGUUCUAAGAAAACCAUUGGCUGUGGAGGCGUCCAAUACCUGACCCUACGGAAUAGGAAAGGGGCAAGCUGAAAAAGUUCACGAGAUGUCACGUCUGAGCAGAGCCUCCAUCUGGGUAUCCACUGUUGAACUCCAUUUGUGGAUUCCAUAAUACAACUCCAGAACUUUGUGGAGACUCAGAAAACAUGAGCCAACAACAGCAGAGAGGAGGAUGUUGCUGCUGUAGAUGCUGUGGAGGAGGUGGUGGUGGCGGCGGCGGGAGCAGAUGCCACGGAGGUGGUGGUAGUUCUCAAGUCAGCCGCAGCGGUGGUGGUGGCGGUGGCGGCGGCGGCUGUUGUGGGAGAAGCGGCGGAGGAUCUUCUCAACAAACCCAGAGCAGUGGCGGUGGCUGUUGUGGUGGAAGUUCUGGAGGGUCUUCUCAACAAACCCAGAGCAGCGGCGGUGGCUGUUGUGGUGGAAGUUCUGGAGGGUCUUCUCAACAAACCCAGAGCAGCAGUGGUAGCUGCUGCGGUGGACCUUCUCAGCAGAAGAUGAAGUAGACGUGUCCAGGAACUCCCGUACAAAUUCACUACUCUCAACAAUAUGUAUUUCUCCUCUGCUUGUAAACCAACUAUGCUUUGACCUCUCCAGGUGGCCUUGGGUGGUACCUUCUUGUCUUUGGAGAUCCCUGUGAAGGUAUUAAAAACC
Long non-coding RNA from Ahaetulla prasina, 1011 nucleotides. RefSeq lists it as uncharacterized. NCBI's taxonomy places the organism in Eukaryota, Metazoa, Chordata, Lepidosauria, Squamata, Colubridae. The record is from RefSeq and is a predicted model, not a curated record. The transcript has 4 exons.